GUGUGAUAAGGCAAUCUCCAUAAGAUCAACACUUUGUAUCACGAAGCCGCGUCUCCUCAGAGAAUAACAAGCUGUGUGAGCUAUGGUUAAAACUUGCUGCUGGGUCUAUCUUGCUAGUUUAGGGCUGGUGAUCACAGUAUCAAGUAUCAGGCACCAAAAUAUAUCACAAAGGCCGCAAAGACAGUUCAUUGUGUGUGUUGUAUCUCAUUCUGCAAAGACAGUGAACAUGUAAUCCUAUAGUUUGACACCGUACACAUCGUUUCACCAUUACCAUAGUAUCCUCUUCCAUUGUAUAAUUUUGUACAUUACAAAUCAUGUGUUCUGUCAUGAAUAAUAACGUGUUUAUGUAAAUUAA
This is a long non-coding RNA of Nilaparvata lugens (brown planthopper), 355 nucleotides long. RefSeq lists it as uncharacterized. The transcript is spliced from 3 exons. Lineage: Eukaryota; Metazoa; Arthropoda; Insecta; Hemiptera; Delphacidae. The record is from RefSeq and is a predicted model, not a curated record.